CCUACGGGAGGCAGCAGUAGGGAAUCUUCCACAAUGGGCGAAAGCCUGAUGGAGCAACGCCGCGUGGGUGAAGAAGGUCUUCGGAUCGUAAAACUCUGUUGUUAGAGAAGAAAGAGCGUGAGAGUAACUGUUCACGUUUCGACGGUAUCUAACCAGAAAGCCACGGCUAACUACGUGCCAGCAGCCGCGGUAAUACGUAGGUGGCAAGCGUUAUCCGGAUUUAUUGGGCGUAAAGGGAACGCAGGCGGUCUUUUAAGUCUGAUGUGAAAGCCUUCGGCUUAACCGGAGUAGUGCAUUGGAAACUGGAAGACUUGAGUGCAGAAGAGGAGAGUGGAACUCCAUGUGUAGCGGUGAAAUGCGUAGAUAUAUGGAAGAACACCAGUGGCGAAAGCGGCUCUCUGGUCUGUAACUGACGCUGAGGUGCGAAAGCGUGGGUAGCAAACAGGAUUAGAUACCCGAGUAGUC
RNAcentral lists this ribosomal RNA (465 nucleotides) under uncultured bacterium. Its description in RNAcentral is "partial 16S ribosomal RNA". It matches the Rfam family "Bacterial small subunit ribosomal RNA", at positions 338 to 795 of the family's 1533-position model. The record is from RNAcentral.